Molecule: ribosomal RNA, 809 nt
Filed under: uncultured bacterium
Lineage: Bacteria
Description: bacterial SSU rRNA
Rfam family: Bacterial small subunit ribosomal RNA
Source: RNAcentral
GAGUUUGAUCCUGGCUCAGGACGAACGCUGGCGGCGUGCCUAAUGCAUGCAAGUCGAGCGACGAAUAGGUGCGGGUAACCAAGCCUAUUACGGAGCGGCGAACGGGUGAGUAACACGUGAGCAACCUGCCCCGAAGACCGGGAUAGCCCAGGGAAACUUGGAUUAAUACCGGAUAUCCUCUUUUGACCGCAUGGUCGUUGGAGGAAAUGCUUUUACGCUUCGGGAUGGGCUCGCGGCCUAUCAGCUUGUUGGUGGGGUAACGGCCUACCAAGGCGUCGACGGGUAGCUGGUCUGAGAGGAUGACCCCCCACACUGGGACUGAGACACGGCCCAGACUCCUACGGGAGGCAGCAGUGAGGGAUAUUGCACAAUGGGGGAAACCCUGAUGCAGCGACGCCGCGUGGGUGAUGAAGGCUUUCGGGUCGUAAAACCCUUUUCUAGGUGACGAGCAAGGACGGUAGCCUAGGAAUAAGUCUCGGCUAACUACGUGCCAGCAGCCGCGGUAAAACGUAGGAGGCAAGCGUUAUCCGGAGUUACUGGGCGUAAAGCGCAUGUAGGCGGUUGUUCAAGUGGUGUGUGAAAGCGCCCGGCUAAACUGGGCGAGGACACAUCAGACUGGACGGCUAGAGGGUGCUAGAGGGGCGCAGAAUUCGGGGUGUAGCGGUGAAAUGUGUAGAGAUCCCGAGGAAUACCAGUGGGGAAGCCGGCGCCCUGGGGCAUUAGUCGAAAGACUGUACUGACGCUGAGAUGCGAAAGCGUGGGGAGCGAACGGGAUUAGAGACCCCGGUAGUCCACGCCGUAAACGAUGU